GAUGAACGCUAGCUACAGGCUUAACACAUGCAAGUCGAGGGGUAACGAGAGGAAAGCUUGCUUUCCUUGUCGACGACCGGCGCACGGGUGAGUAACGCGUAUCCAACCUGCCCCCAACUAGGGAAUAACCUUGCGAAAGUAAGACUAAUACCCUAUAAUUUCCUCAGAUGACAUCUGACGAGGAAUAAAGAUUUAUCGGUUGUGGAUGGGGAUGCGUCUGAUUAGCUUGUUGGCGGGGGAACGGCCCACCAAGGCAACGAUCAGUAGGGGUUCUGAGAGGAAGGUCCCACAACUUGGAACUGAGACACGGUCCAAACUCCUACGGGAGGCAGCAGUGAGGAAUAUUGGUCAAUGGGCGGAAGCCUGAACCAGCCAAGUAGCGUGCAGGAUGACGGCCCUAUGGGUUGUAAACUGCUUUUAUACAGGAAUAAAGUUAGCCACGUGUGGUUAUUUGUAGGUACUGUAUGAAUAAGGACCGGCUAAUUCCGUGCCAGCCGCCGCAGUAA
This 506-nucleotide ribosomal RNA is filed under the name uncultured bacterium. RNAcentral describes it as "partial 16S ribosomal RNA". It matches the Rfam family "Bacterial small subunit ribosomal RNA", at positions 28 to 523 of the family's 1533-position model. The record is from RNAcentral.